This 71-nucleotide transfer RNA is filed under the name Bembrops curvatura (brownspotted flathead). RNAcentral describes it as "tRNA-Ser (UCN)". It matches the Rfam family "tRNA". Rfam says of the family: Transfer RNA (tRNA) molecules are approximately 80 nucleotides in length. Their secondary structure includes four short double-helical elements and three loops (D, anti-codon, and T loops). The record is from RNAcentral. Lineage: Eukaryota; Metazoa; Chordata; Actinopteri; Perciformes.
AAGGAAGUGACAGAGCGGUAAUGUGGUUGGCUUGAAACCAAUUUACGGGGGUUCGAUUCCUCCCUUUCUCG